This 294-nucleotide unclassified non-coding RNA is filed under the name uncultured fungus. RNAcentral describes it as "sequence contains ITS2". Lineage: Eukaryota; Fungi. The record is from RNAcentral.
AACGCAACUUGCGCCCCUUUGGGGCAUGUCUGUUUGAGAACCGCAUCUAUCUAACCCCUUGGGGUUGAAACUGUGCCAAGCUGCGCAAGCGGCUGGUGCGAAAUGCAGCAUGUAGGGGCAGAAAGGCCGAUCGUGUGCUGGAGACUUUGGUCUUGUCACGACGCGGCGCGUAUGCUCUUUUUUGUUUAUUUGAUUUUUUAUACAAGUAUAAUUUUGUACAAGUAUAAUUUAAAAAAUAAUAAAAACACUACAAAAAAUGGUCUCAAAUCAGGCAAGACUACCCGCUGAACUUAA